GCUCCAGAAGUGGCUAAGCUAACCUGUAAGGGAGGCAGGUCCCCAAGGAGUGUCCGGUGACUGGGGUGAAGUCGUAACAAGGUAGCCGUAGGUGAACCUGCAGAAGGAUCA
RNAcentral lists this ribosomal RNA (111 nucleotides) under uncultured eukaryote. RNAcentral describes it as "partial small subunit ribosomal RNA". It matches the Rfam family "Bacterial small subunit ribosomal RNA", at positions 1417 to 1525 of the family's 1533-position model. The record is from RNAcentral.